AAAAAAAAAUUGGACUGGAUUGAAAUGCAGCAUGAAUCAUAAGAGAAGUUUAGAAGCACAUGAAGAUGAAUGGGUCCCCAGUGACUCAACAGAGAACAUCUGGUGGAUCACAGAGUGGAACUGUAAACUGGAGAGGAUCCAUGGCAUGAGAGAUACAUAAACUGUCCUUUGAUGCUGCACAAUGCUUCGCCUGACUUCUACUCCAAAUCAGAUGUUGUGAAGGCCUGGGUCUCAAUAAUAAGGACAGAUCUUCAAACACUUCAGCAACAGAGAAAUCUGUAAAUUGAGUUCAUCCUUGUUGUCCCAACAAUGAAUAAAAGUUUUCAAGUACACCUAAAUAUCAUCCAACACCUGAGAGGAGGUCAUCGAGGAGACAAAGUCAAGCUCAUCACAGUGGAAAAUCAAGAGAUUAUGGACAUGUGUUGAAACAAGAAAUUGUUAAAGGGGAUGUGAGGGAAAGCUUUUUCACCAUAAGGACAGUAGAACAGAGGAAGAGGCUGCCCAGUGAGGAUGUUAGUUUUCCAUCUUUGGAAGUUUUUCAAAAGCCAUCUGGAUUAUAAACCCCAGAGUUCACCUAAUUUGAAUAGAAGGUUGGAAAAGAAACUUUCUGAGGUCUCUUCUGAACUGAAUUUUCUUGUGAUCAUCUACUAUACUAUAUCAUAUCCCAGUUAAUUUUCUCUUUUCCAGAGAGAUAAGUCCGUCCUUACACAUAAAUGAUUGUAUACCUUUGAUCAUUUUAGUUAUACUUCCAUGUUUUACUAUGCCCUUUCUGAUACAGGGCAGUAAGAUGCACGUGGUUUCCAAGAGAGCAUGCACUGCAAAUUAAUGCUAUGUUUAGUGAUAUUAACUGCUUUGCCUUGUAGAUGGCACUUCACUUUUGAUUUGAUAUUUUCAUAGGAUAUAUACAAUAAUACAAAAGCUGUCUGCAGGUGAAGGCCUGUCAAGCAGUUUCAGUAAAUUUAUAUCCCACCAUUUUGUAAUUGUGAUUAAAUUUGGAUUUGCCUGUACGUAUUUCUUUGUGUAUAUUGAAUCCGUUUCCCAUUUAUCCAAUAUUAUCCUACAGUACUUUCAGUCCAUAUAGUUUUGAACUAUUCUGAAUAUUUUUGUAUCAUCAGAAAGCUUCAUUACAGAGUGAAAAAUAAAAAAUAAUAUACUUUAGUUUCAUGCUAUACUGUUACCUGUUUUAAAGGCACCUUAAAAUUUCCUAGAAAGUAAAUUCACUGAAAAGGAUGUAGAUCGAACAAGAAUGAACACUGAUUAUUAUUUUUUUUAACAAACACCUAUGCUUCUCAUGUUUUAAAUACUUAAUUGUUAAGGUUUUAGAUCUAACUUGCCACGUCUUAGGUCAGUUUCUUUUUAUGAAUGUUUAAUUGAACAUGUGUUCCAUUUCUACAGGAUGGCUCUUGUGGUAGACUUUUUCACUCUGAUUCUUAACCAUGAUGUUGCUAUAUUAUUUCUUCCAAGGUCAUUUGAAUUGACAGAAUAUGUCUAUUUACAGCGUCUACUGUAAUGUCUCCAUACUUUUUGGUUGCUCCUAAUGACUUUCCAUUAAUAAAGUUUCCAGAGUAAUUUAGUGAUUAUAUAUAUCUCAGGAUGAACUCAAGAAUUCUAAAGCUUCUUCUUUUAUGUAUUCAUUUAUUUUUUAUGUAUUCAUUGAUUUGAAAUCACCUAUGGCAUAGGAACUCAUGACACAGACUGAAAUCUUUUUGUUUUCGCGGUCUUUCCAGUGCAGUAGCUGUACAGCUAGUUGCAUAAACUUCUUAUUGAAACUGUGAUGGCUACUGAAGAAGAAGGUUGAAAGAUUUAAGCUCCUGGGAAAAUCUGGCUACUUUUCAAAAGGAGCCAUGUUAAGACUGUGUGCACCAUUUUGAUCUCUCAGUGGUUCCUGAUGCCCUAUGAAACUGACAUUUCUGCAUUAAAGGCUUAUGUUUAAGACUAGUGGCAUAAUGCAGCAAACAAUGUGUAAACACUAUAUUGUUUGGGUUUUCUUGUUUCUAUUUUUUUUUCUGACUGAAGAUCUGAAACCAUUUAGUUGUUUUUGGAGCCCAAAAUGGUGACACCAGAAUAUAGGACCCAGAGUUACAAGGAGUCAAGAGAAAAACAGCAGGGAAACCAAAAAUUAUUUUUGAAAUUUCAUGUACAGAAAUUACAUCUUUGCUCAGAAAUGAAUUUUCCAGUGUUUUCAGCUACACUUAUCAGAAUGUGUUUGUAUUCUGACUAUGGAAACGGAAUGCCAUUACUGAGUAUGCAGGUAAAUGUAUGCUAGUGGAAGAGUUGCAAGGGCGAGAAGGCACAUGUAUGUUAUAUUGCUAAAGUAUAAGAAGUAACUACCACGUUGUCCUGGACUGUAAAAAAUAGCCUGUUGAAAAGAUGAAAAAAAUGACUGUAGUGAAGUGGAGCUGAAUAUCUUUCCUUCCAAACCACAGGAAUAAAAAUCGGCCUACCAAGGAAAGUUUAUUCAAGAUGAAUGAGUCUUGCAAAACGAUGUGAAUCAGAGUCUGCAAAGCCACCCAGCACUGUGGUAGCCUGCAUCUAUGGACUACACAUUACAUAUUUAUAUAGGUUUUAUGGAGACCAUACUGAAAAGAAGCAAGCCAAUAGGAGAACAGUGAAAGGAGAAUGUCAUCUGGUUCCUAUUAAUGACUGAGGUCAUUUUUGCGCUGAACUCUAUAGCAGUUAAGCCAAGUAAAGAAACCCAAGACUUUCAGGUUAUGAUGCACUAUUACCAAAACCUGACUAGAGUAGUAAAUGAAAUUUGUACUUAGAUUCAGGUCUGUCAAAUUGUUGGCUGAACUGAAAGCUAAGCCAGAGCCUGAGAGAACACUUUCUUACUUCUUUAAGAGAUGUAUGAUAAAAGUCAAUUUGCAUAACAACCAGGUUUUAAUCCUCCUGAGCUGGAAUAGAGGUAGUUAGGGUAUUGAUUGAAGGGGUCAGAAAGGUAUGAAUACCACUGUCAUAUAGAUGGCAGCAGGUGAAAAAUAACAAAAAAAAAAGAUAGAAAGUGGAAAAACUUUCGAGAGUAGAAAUGGUGAAAAUGGUCCCAUGCUAGGAAUGGAUAAUGCAUAUGUUUUUGUGAAAGGAAGACAGACACACCUGUAUGUUAUUAGCUGUUCCUGAAAGAGAGAUCAGUCUGUUUCUUGUACCUCUUAAAAAUUAACUUGUCAUUAAUAACAAAUUGAGAGGUAGAGAUGCAAGGUUACCAUGAGACAACCUUUGCACAUCUGGUUACCAUAGGUCCUUAGGGAAUACCACUCGGCCAAGUGUGCUGGCACCAAUGCUAGAAAGACUGACAACUAUACUCUGUACAUUUAUAUCCAUGACCUUGUGCUUUAUACACUUCUGAGCUAUUAAUUUACUGCUGGUGUUGUCUAAAGACAAUGUGUGUCAGCAGUCUAAAAUAUCAUUGGUUCUAAUUGCUACAAACCACCCUGGAAGCACGCUUUUGAUGUAUAUUAUUUCACUUGGCUAAUGUGUACAACUGAACUUUUAGACUUUUUUAGUGGCUUGUGUUGUUUUUUUUCUUUAGCUUUGACACUUUUUAUCUAUCUAAAAUGAUAAUUGUAGCAGGGUAAGCUUUGCUGCUAUUUUAAUUUUCGUGUCUUUACCUUUUCUGAAUUUAAUGAGUUUAAGCAGGUGAUUUUGUUGGCAGACUUUGGCAUUGUUAUUGUGAACAUUUUGAUUGAGACUAGUCUUUUUUAACUAAUUAUGUCUGACAAAUAUUCUUGUCCUCAGUGAUCUUUUGGGAAGUCAAGGAAUUGAUUCUUUUGCUACAUUAAACAUCUAAGCCUGG
Meleagris gallopavo (turkey) is the source of this 3790-nucleotide non-coding RNA. NCBI's taxonomy places the organism in Eukaryota, Metazoa, Chordata, Aves, Galliformes, Phasianidae. The record is from RefSeq and is a predicted model, not a curated record.